This 1380-nucleotide ribosomal RNA is filed under the name metagenome. RNAcentral describes it as "SSU rRNA". It matches the Rfam family "Eukaryotic small subunit ribosomal RNA", at positions 398 to 1801 of the family's 1831-position model. The record is from RNAcentral.
CGGAAAUGGCUACCACAUCCAAGGAUGGCAGCAGGCGCGCAAAUUACCCACUCCCAGCUUGGGGAGGUAGUGACGAAAAAUAACAAUGCGGGACUCUAAGAGGCCCCGUAAUUGGAAUGAGUACACCUUAAAUCGUUUAACGAGUAUCAAUUGGAGGGCAAGUCUGGUGCCAGCAGCCGCGGUAAUUCCAGCUCCAAUAGCGUAUAUUAAAGUUGCUGCAGUUAAAAAGCUCGUAGUUGGAUCUGGGGCUUGAGGUCGCUGUCUAUCGUUUCGGCGAUGACGGUGAUGCUCAGCUCUGCUUGCCGGUGACUGUUGCGGUGUUCUUCACUGAGCGCUGUAGCAGCACGGCACGUUUACUUUGAAAAAAUUAGAGUGCUCAAAGCGUGCUUGUCGCUUGAAUAAUGUUGCAUGGAAUAAUGGAAUAGGACCUCGGUUCUAUUUUGUUGGUUUUCGGAGCUUGAGGUAAUGAUUAAGAGGGACGAACGGGGGCAUUCGUAUUGCGGUGUUAGAGGUGAAAUUCUUGGAUCGCCGCAAGACGGACUACUGCGAAAGCAUUUGCCAAGAACGCUUUCAUUAAUUAAGAACGAAAGUCAGAGGUUCGAAGACGAUCAGACACCGUCCUAGUUCUGACCAUAAACGAUGCCGACCAGCGAUCCGUAGUGGUUGCUUUAUGGACCCUACGGGCAGCCUCCGGGAAACCAAAGUAUUUGGGUUCCGGGGGAAGUAUGGUUGCAAAGCUGAAACUUAAAGGAAUUGACGGAAGGGCACACCAGGAGUGGAGCCUGCGGCUUAAUUUGACCCAACACGGGAAAACUCACCCGGUCCGGACACCGUAAGGAUUGACAGACUGAUAGCUCUUUCUUGAUUCGGUGGAUGGUGGUGCAUGGCCGUUCUUAGUUGGUGGAGUGAUUUGUCUGGUUAAUUCCGAUAACGAACGAGACUCUAGCCUGCUAAGUAGUGUUGCUAUUGUUAUAUGGUUGACACUUCUUAGAGGGACAAGUGGCAUUUAGCCACGCGAAAUUGAGCAAUAACAGGUCUGUGAUGCCCUUAGAUGUCCGGGGCCGCACGCGCGCUACACUGGAGAAGUCAGCGUGUGUUAUCCAAGUCCGAAAGGACUGGGUAAUCCGUUGAACCUUCUUCGUGCUUGGGACUGUGGCUUGGAACUAUUCCACAUGAACGAGGAAUUCCUAGUAAUUGCAAGUCAUAAGCUUGCGUUGAUUACGUCCCUGCCCUUUGUACACACCGCCCGUCGCUACUACCGAUUGAAUGGUUUAGCAAGGUCCUCGGAUCGUGGCCGUAGGGGCACGCAAGUGUUUCUGCGGUUUGCGAGAAGACGACCAAACUUGAUCAUUUAGAGGAAGUAAAAGUCGUAACAAGGUU